UUGACCUCGGAUCAGGUAGGGAUACCCGCUGAACUUGAGCAUAUCAAUAAGCGGAGGA
Molecule: ribosomal RNA, 58 nt
Filed under: Pseudogymnoascus pannorum
Lineage: Eukaryota; Fungi; Ascomycota; Leotiomycetes; Thelebolales; Thelebolaceae
Also listed under: 1 other name
Description: partial 28S ribosomal RNA
Source: RNAcentral